CUUUGUUUCCGGUAACCAAUGUGACAUAUUGUAGAAUAAAUAUCGAGAAUGAAGUUAUCACGGAACUAGAAUGACAUUUCCAGCAUAUGGACCAUAAGGUACAGAACAAGUAGCAAACACUCGGUGGCACAACAAUAAAAAGACCCCAGGAAGAGUAGGUGCUGCCUCUGCAAAAGCUAAUGGGGAUUCUAAUAAACAAAUAUGCUGACUCCAAAUCCAGGAAGGAUACGCAGUCAGAAAGAUGCUUACAGGAGGCGCUCCUUAUCUGAUGACUAGACUGCUCUGGUAAAACUGUAGUUAACCUAGAGCAGUGGUCAACAACCUUUUCUGAGUCAAGGAAACUGCAGACACAGUGAUCUGAGCUAUCUGAUUGGACAGCGGUAGUUCUAUAGGUGCACUUGAUUUGCUCUUUGGGCCUGCCUGGUAGGUGGAGUUCUAUCUUCUAGGGCUGCUUAAUCAAGUGCACCUACCAUCAUCGGUGUGAAAUGAAGAAAAAAAAUAGGAAGGCAAGGCUUUAUCACUUUUUUUUACAGAAAUGUUUGGUGAUCGACUAGGAAUGCCUUGGAGAUUGACCAUUCGAUCGCGAUUGACCGGUUGGUGUAGAGGAGGCAGGCCAGCAACUGGAGGGUUGCUGGUUUGAAGCCCUUGUCUGUCAAGAAAGAUGCAUGGCUAGAAAUCUUUAACAUUUUAACAAUUUUCCUGCAAUUCUACACUUUAUUAAAGGUGCAAUAUGCAGAAAUACCUAUUUCCUGGUUGCUAAAAUUCUAGUAGUUCACCUAAUUUCAGUUUGUGACUAAACAAGCAAUGUUUAGUGUAGAGAAUAAUCUAAACCAUUGUGAAAUAUAUGUUUAUUAAACCAAAAUAUAUUGUGUUUUCAGAUGUUUGAAGCAUGUGUACAAAGCAAUGUUUGUCAGACCAUGAGACAUCCCAAAAAGUAUUCUCACAAAACCGUCAGUAGUCUGAAUGGUUUGGCCUACAAAUUAUUAGGACCCCUCUAUGGAAAGAUGAGACUCUCAUGUUCUCCAUUUUGCUUGGGACGUCUUGGGUUGGUACAGCCGAUCUGCCAACCUCUGUCUAUAGCGUUUGAACAGUUUUGGCUACAGACUAAUAUGAAAGGUGGAAAGGUUAGACCUCGGUGGAAAGGUGAGACUCACGAACACUUACAUGUUGGUUGAUUUGCUCUGCUCUAGGACGCUCACAAGACUCGUCUGAAGGUCCCCGGUACCAGAUUUAAAAAAUGAAUGGAAGUAUAUAUGGAGACUGUUUAGCGGCAAAACAAAAUGUACCAACCAGUUGUUACUGGAGUACAUGAAGAUGAGUGAGAUUUUCAGGGAAGGGGGCGUUAGAGGAGACACAUCAUACUCAUCGUCGCCAUCUCGAACACACAGGUUGCAAUCAAGCGGAUGACUUUUGGUAAGUCGGUGACCAUCACCAAAUCGAAGUGUGUUGCAUUAUGGGGAUCAAAAUUAUCUGACUUUCGCCUACAUGUCGACUGCAUUAACUUAAACUUUUUUGCAGUUACCCUUCACCAACUUCAUCCUGCAGCAAUAGCCUGCAUGGUGGGAGGCUCUAUUGUCAACCAAUCAUUAGCUGUUUUUUACUCACCCAAACGUGACCAAAGACAUGACUGAAACAGUAAGCAACUUUGCUAUGAUUCAUACAGAUCUAUACAAAUUAAUGUUAUGUUUCAGGCACUCUCUCACUAAUUGAUUGUACACUCAUGGUUUCAGUUUGUGAGUGUGUGAUAUGGGGGUUGGAAACAUGUUUAUUUCCACAGUAUAAAGAAACUUUUUAUAAACAACGGCAACUCUUCCAUGUUGGUCUGAGCCUUGCUAGUGUCUGACUUUCGGCUUUUACAGUAGAUGUCACAUUGGAAUUAGCGACGUAGUGACUCUGGAUUCACUUUCUAUACCUUUUGGUCGGUCAGAUAUAUUAAUUGUGCUACUGUUUACUUACUGAAAGACCUUAAAGAGGAGCGAUAUUAGAGUAAUCAUUUUGUUUUCUGUGAAUGUAAUAUUUUAUUCCUAAUUUAUUUAUUUCAGCUCAGUGGAAAGCUUCUUUGGACCCCAUUUUUUUUAUUGUAAUAUCCUUAGUGAUGUGCUCCCUCUGCUGGUACAAAACGUGAUGUUGGUUCUCUGGGACCAGCAACUGUGUAUGAUACUGACAGUACAUCUUACUUUUACUAUGGAGAACAUGGAGCAUUUUUUUGUUUUUGAAUUGUACAUUUAGUACGUGGUAAAUUUCCAUGUGCCACUCCGGCCUCCCAGAUUGGCUCGCUUGUAGGCGUGCUUGCAGCAUGUUUGAUUGUGCGUCAAGAAUUCAGCAUAGCAAGUUUGCAUGAAGGUCUAGUUAUUAAAUGGUUACAUAGUUUCAUACAUUUUCUGUUUAAUGUAUUUAUUCCCAGGUAAAUAGUAAUAUGCUCUAACCGCUCUGGUGACAAACAAACUUUGGCAACCAGGCAAUCCUCCACAUGGCUGGAAGACCCUAUUUUCUCAGUAACAGUCUCUCUUCUUCACUUCAUCCUCUCGGUUAUAUCAGCUGUGUCGGUAAACCCCUCCCGCAUCUGAACAGGCUACAUAGACGGCACAGCAUGAUCAGAGGUGAGAGGUCAGUUGGUCGGGUCAACAGGAAGUACUAUUAAAGAGAUGUUUUACAUUGAAAUACAGAUAGAAAUGUGGAAGUCCCAGAGUUAAUGAUCCAAGGUCAGUUUGUCAUUUCACCUCCUGAUUUUUAUGAUGACUGGCAGUAUUAGAAUAGAAAAAACAAGACAUAAUCAUGCUUUGUCUCUCAUUUCCAGGUAUGUUUUGUUGUGAGACAGGAUGCCAAUCCCAAGUACCGUCACCACCUCCGCCGCUCUUAAGAGCACCUUCGGGCCAUCUAGGGGCCCAAGGCUAGUUAGGAGAAACCACUAGAGACACUAUGUCAUUGUGAUUAACUGCGAUAAUAUUCUCUAUUCACAUUCUCUACUGGCUGAAAUUAAGUCUCAUUUGA
This is a long non-coding RNA of Oncorhynchus masou masou (cherry salmon), 2991 nucleotides long. RefSeq lists it as uncharacterized. The record is from RefSeq and is a predicted model, not a curated record. The transcript is spliced from 3 exons. Lineage: Eukaryota; Metazoa; Chordata; Actinopteri; Salmoniformes; Salmonidae.